GGGUUGUGAGGUUAAGCGACUAAGCGUACACGGUGGAUGCCCUGGCAGUCAGAGGCGAUGAAGGGCGUGCUAAUCUGCGAUAAGCGCCGGUAAGGUGAUAUGAACCGUUAUAACCGGCGAUACCCGAAUGGGGAAACCCAGUGUGAUUCGUCACACUAUCAUUAACUGAAUCCAUAGGUUAAUGAGGCGAACCGGGGGAACUGAAACAUCUAAGUACCCCGAGGAAAAGAAAUCAACCGAGAUUCCCCCAGUAGCGGCGAGCGAACGGGGAGGAGCCCAGAGCCUGAAUCAGCAUGUGUGUUAGUGGAAGCGUCUGGAAAGGCGCGCGAUACAGGGUGACAGCCCCGUACACAAAAGCGCAUGUGCUGUGAGCUCGAUGAGUAGGGCGGGACACGUGGUAUCCUGUCUGAAUAUGGGGGGACCAUCCUCCAAGGCUAAAUACUCCUGACUGACCGAUAGUGAACCAGUACCGUGAGGGAAAGGCGAAAAGAACCCCGGCGAGGGGAGUGAAAAAGAACCUGAAACCGUGUACGUACAAGCAGUGGGAGCACAGGUUUACCUGUGUGACUGCGUACCUUUUGUAUAAUGGGUCAGCGACUUAUAUUCUGUAGCAAGGUUAACCGAAUAGGGGAGCCGGAGGGAAACCGAGUCUUAAUUGGGCGUUAAGUUGCAGGGUAUAGACCCGAAACCCGGUGAUCUAGCCAUGGGCAGGUUGAAGGUUGGGUAACACUAACUGGAGGACCGAACCGACUAAUGUUGAAAAAUUAGCGGAUGACCUGUGGCUGGGGGUGAAAGGCCAAUCAAACCGGGAGAUAGCUGGUUCUCCCCGAAAGCUAUUUAGGUAGCGCCUCGUGAAUUCAUCUCCGGGGGUAGAGCACUGUUUCGGCUAGGGGGCCAUCCCGGCUUACCAACCCGAUGCAAACUGCGAAUACCGGAGAAUGUUAUCACGGGAGACACACGGCGGGUGCUAACGUCCGUCGUGAAGAGGGAAACAACCCAGACCGCCAGCUAAGGUCCCAAAGUCAUGGUUAAGUGGGAAACGAUGUGGGAAGGCCCAGACAGCCAGGAUGUUGGCUUAGAAGCAGCCAUCAUUUAAAGAAAGCGUAAUAGCUCACUGGUCGAGUCGGCCUGCGCGGAAGAUGUAACGGGGCUAAACCAUGCACCGAAGCUGCGGCAGCGANNGUUGGGUAGGGGAGCGUUCUGUAAGCCUGUGAAGGUGUGUCGUGAGGCAUGCUGGAGGUAUCAGAAGUGCGAAUGCUGACAUAAGUAACGAUAAAGCGGGUGAAAAGCCCGCUCGCCGGAAGACCAAGGGUUCCUGUCCAACGUUAAUCGGGGCAGGGUGAGUCGACCCCUAAGGCGAGGCCGAAAGGCGUAGUCGAUGGGAAACGGGUUAAUAUUCCCGUACUUGGUGUUACUGCGAAGGGGGGACGGAGAAGGCUAUGUUGGCCGGGCGACGGUUGUCCCGGUUUAAGCGUGUAGGUGUGUGUUCCAGGUAAAUCCGGUUCACUUUAACACUGAGGCGUGAUGACGAGGCACUACGGUGCUGAAGUAACAAAUGCCCUGCUUCCAGGAAAAGCCUCUAAGCAUCAGGUAACAUCAAAUCGUACCCCAAACCGACACAGGUGGUCAGGUAGAGAAUACCAAGGCGCUUGAGAGAACUCGGGUGAAGGAACUAGGCAAAAUGGUGCCGUAACUUCGGGAGAAGGCACGCUGACACGUAGGUGAAGUGAUUUACUCAUGGAGCUGAAGUCAGUCGAAGAUACCAGCUGGCUGCAACUGUUUAUUAAAAACACAGCACUGUGCAAACACGAAAGUGGACGUAUACGGUGUGACGCCUGCCCGGUGCCGGAAGGUUAAUUGAUGGGGUCAGCGCAAGCGAAGCUCCUGAUCGAAGCCCCGGUAAACGGCGGCCGUAACUAUAACGGUCCUAAGGUAGCGAAAUUCCUUGUCGGGUAAGUUCCGACCUGCACGAAUGGCGUAAUGAUGGCCAGGCUGUCUCCACCCGAGACUCAGUGAAAUUGAACUCGCUGUGAAGAUGCAGUGUACCCGCGGCAAGACGGAAAGACCCCGUGAACCUUUACUAUAGCUUGACACUGAACAUUGAGCCUUGAUGUGUAGGAUAGGUGGGAGGCUUUGAAGUGUGGACGCCAGUCUGCAUGGAGCCGACCUUGAAAUACCACCCUUUAAUGUUUGAUGUUCUAACGUGGACCCGUGAUCCGGGUUGCGGACAGUGUCUGGUGGGUAGUUUGACUGGGGCGGUCUCCUCCUAAAGAGUAACGGAGGAGCACGAAGGUUGGCUAAUCCUGGUCGGACAUCAGGAGGUUAGUGCAAUGGCAUAAGCCAGCUUGACUGCGAGCGUGACGGCGCGAGCAGGUGCGAAAGCAGGUCAUAGUGAUCCGGUGGUUCUGAAUGGAAGGGCCAUCGCUCAACGGAUAAAAGGUACUCCGGGGAUAACAGGCUGAUACCGCCCAAGAGUUCAUAUCGACGGCGGUGUUUGGCACCUCGAUGUCGGCUCAUCACAUCCUGGGGCUGAAGUAGGUCCCAAGGGUAUGGCUGUUCGCCAUUUAAAGUGGUACGCGAGCUGGGUUUAGAACGUCGUGAGACAGUUCGGUCCCUAUCUGCCGUGGGCGCUGGAGAACUGAGGGGGGCUGCUCCUAGUACGAGAGGACCGGAGUGGACGCAUCACUGGUGUUCGGGUUGUCAUGCCAAUGGCACUGCCCGGUAGCUAAAUGCGGAAGAGAUAAGUGCUGAAAGCAUCUAAGCACGAAACUUGCCCCGAGAUGAGUUCUCCCUGAGACUU
RNAcentral lists this ribosomal RNA (2800 nucleotides) under Salmonella enterica subsp. enterica serovar Dublin. Its description in RNAcentral is "bacterial LSU rRNA". It matches the Rfam family "Bacterial large subunit ribosomal RNA". The record is from RNAcentral. Lineage: Bacteria; Pseudomonadati; Pseudomonadota; Gammaproteobacteria; Enterobacterales; Enterobacteriaceae.